UGAGCAAUCUGCCCUUCUCAUCGGAAUAAGCGUUGGAAACGACGUCUAAUGCCGAAUACGACCUCCUUUCGCAUGAUCGGAGGUGGAAAGCUCCGGCGGAGAAGGAUGAGCUCGCGGCCUAUCAGCUAGUUGGUGUGGGUAACGCCCACAAGGCGACGACGGGUAGCCGGCCUGGAGAGGGUGACCGGCCACACUGGGACUGAGACACGGCCCAGACUCCUACGGGAGGCAGCG
Molecule: ribosomal RNA, 234 nt
Filed under: uncultured bacterium
Lineage: Bacteria
Description: partial 16S ribosomal RNA
Rfam family: Bacterial small subunit ribosomal RNA
Source: RNAcentral